This 241-nucleotide ribosomal RNA is filed under the name uncultured bacterium. Its description in RNAcentral is "partial 16S ribosomal RNA". It matches the Rfam family "Bacterial small subunit ribosomal RNA", at positions 104 to 334 of the family's 1533-position model. The record is from RNAcentral.
CGGCGGGACGGGGUGGAGUAACGCGUGGGUAACCUGCCUCAUACAGGGGGAUAACAGUUAGAAAUGACUGCUAAUACCGCAUAAGACCACAGCACCGCAUGGUGCGGGGGUAAAAACUCCGGUGGUAUGAGAUGGACCCGCGUCUGAUUAGCUAGUUGGUAAGGUAACGGCUUACCAAGGCGACGAUCAGUAGCCGACCUGAGAGGGUGACCGGCCACAUUGGGACUGAGACACGGCCCAA